CCUACGGGUGGCAGCAGUGAGGAAUAUUGGUCAAUGGGCGCUAGCCUGAACCAGCCAAGUAGCGUGAAGGAUGACUGCCCUAUGGGUUGUAAACUUCUUUUAUAUGGGAAUAAAGUGCAGUAUGUAUACUGCUUUGCAUGUACCUUAUGAAUAAGGAUCGGCUAACUCCGUGCCAGCAGCCGCGGUAAGUCGGAGGAUCCGAGCGGUAGCCGGAUUUAUUGGGUUUAAAGGGAGCGUAGGCGGGUUGUUAAGUCAGUUGUGAAAGUUUGCGGCUCAACGGUAAUAUUGCAGUUGAUACUGGCAACCUUGAGUGCGGUAGAGGUAGGCGGAAUGCGUGGUGUAGGAGUGAAAGUCUUAGAUAUCACGAAGAACUCCGAUUGCGAAGGCAACCUGCUGGACUGUAACUGACGCUGAUGCUCGAAAGUGUGGGUAUCAAACAGGAUUAGAUACCCUAGUAGUC
This 460-nucleotide ribosomal RNA is filed under the name uncultured bacterium. Its description in RNAcentral is "partial 16S ribosomal RNA". It matches the Rfam family "Bacterial small subunit ribosomal RNA", at positions 338 to 795 of the family's 1533-position model. The record is from RNAcentral.